AAGAAGCUGCUCCUGGUCUUGCAUACUUUCACAUCCCCUUACCGGAAUAUGCAAGUCUUGAUUCAUCAAACAUGACAGGUGUGAAAAUGGAAACAUAUAGCGGUGAUGGCAUUAGUUCUGCGUCGGUGAACUCUGGUUUCUUCACAACCUUGGUCGGAGCAGGAGACGUGAAGGCCGUUUUCGUUGGCCACGAUCACCUGAAUGACUUCUGCGGCAAGCUAAUGGAUAUACAACUUUGUUAUGCUGGAGGGUUCGGAUACCAUGCUUAUGGAAAGGCUGGAUGGUCUCGGAGGGCAAGAGUGGUGGUAGCUAGCUUGGAGAAGACAGAUAAAGGAAGCUGGGGAGCUGUCAAAUCAAUUAAAUCAUGGAAGCGCCUCGAUGAUCAGCAUCUUACUGGAAUUGAUGGUGAGGUCCUAUGGAGCAAGAGCACUCCCGGUAAGAUAUCAUGUAAUACUGCUUGGAGUAUACUCUUUUUCAUGUUCUUAUAAAAUUAUGAUUCUUUUAAUCUUAUGCUGUCCUUGGACUAAUGGUCUAGUUUGGUUUUCAUUACAGGAAGUAGUGGAAAAAAACAAAUUGGUGGAAAUUAAGAGUUUGAAAGAAAUGCAGUGCAAGAGAAAUAUUGGUGUGUAUUCACAUUACAUGAUUACUUAUACAGAUUUUUAUUCAUAAAAAUUGGAAACUCUAAAUAUACAUAUCAUGUAAUUUGAAACUGCAAUAGAAGGCUGAAGAUUACAAAGAAGAAAUGAAGUUCAUUAACUACUUAGGAGUAUUGCAUUAAUUUGAAGUUUAUAUGUAUCGCCUUAGAACCAAAAAGAAUUUGAACAACUAAAUCAGAAUUGUUUUUUUGGCCUCAAGGGAGUAAUCAAGUUAAAUUAAUUCAAGGGGAACUCUAAUAAUAUUGAUAGAAACAUAAGACUGCAAAAGGAUUCAUCUAAUUUUUUUUGGGUAAAUCAAGAUGUUUUUCACACAUAUUUCUGAAGACUAAUUUCUUGAAGUAAUUGAGAUUCAUUUUAAUUGAAAUAUUUUAAAACACAUUGUUUUAGACACAGUCACGUAAUUAACAAUUCAUGUUGGUAUGCGGUAUAGGUUUGCGGUACGCGACAUGAGACGAAUUCUUAUCAUCUUAGCGAUGUGUCUAAAACAUAUUUAAAGAAUCCAACUAUUUGUCAUUUGUGUCAUGCCAUGCUUAACGGAUUAUUAUCAUUUUAGUUAUCCUAAAAUUCACCCUUAUAUAUCUAUUGUUAAACGUAUAAGGGUGAAUUUAAAUAUUAUUGUCCUUAAAGUUAUGAGAUGAAUAUCUUUUUGGACGUUAUUCCCUUGGUAGCAGCAAUAGAUAAAAUCAGCUCAAACAAUUCUAAAAUAAUAAUAAUGAUAUUUUAUAUAAUCAAAGUUAUAUAUAAAACUAAGUUAGAAGAAGAACAAACUAUAGGAUUACUCUCAACUAGUCACAAACACUCACUCUCACACAGUGGCGGAUCUUGAUAUCAUUUUUUGGAGGUGCCAAAUAUUUGUCGAAUAUAUAUUAAAACGUUUCAAACAAUAUACAAUAUUGUAAACUGGUGUGAAGGUGCAAAUGUUUGAUUGUAACAUAAAGGAUGCCGGUUCAAUUCCUACUGGGAGAUAUUUUUAGUAUAAAAUAUGAAGAAUUCGGUAAAAAAAAUAUAGAAAAAGGGUGCCAAGGGAUCAAACAACACAGGACCAUUUACAUAACCGCUGGAACAACAACACAUUACUGUUAAUAUCAUGCUCACACACAACAUUAGAUCAAAACCAAGACAUAAUGGUUUGUAAUCAAGAUUUGAAGAAUACCGUCAUUGCAAAUAAAUGAUCAUAUAACAUAAUAGUAGGGCUAAGAUAAAGUAUGGAUGGUUUUGCUAAACUAGCAACCAAAUUAAUUUUCCUCCUAAUGAACUCAAUCUUGUAAUACGAAAAUGUUAAUAAUUUGUACCAAAAGAGGAAGAAAAGAAAAUGAUUGAUAAUUCCUUUACAUUGCCUAAAAAUACCAAACACUCCAUUUAUGUUCAUAAGUAAACGUAACAAAAGGAUUAAAUAAAUAGUGUAUAAUUAUUACGAUAAUUGUUGUAUCAUGGUCAAAAUGAAAGAAAUGGAGAAACUUCUUUGUGCUUAUCUCUCCAAAUGGAAUAAAUGGAGGGAAGAAGGUAUAUCAUGCGCAAUUACAUCGAUUAUUUCAUUUGUUCAAGAUAACUGACAUAUAUUUUCGACAAAUGUUUUUUCAUAUUGUUGACUAAAUGAUUAAAAAAUUCAAACAUCUAUAACUUAUGUCACAUUACGUUUAUAUAACAAGACUUGAAUCCCCAAUAAAAGAAAUAAGAUUCAAGUCAUGAAAAAUAUGGUUAAAAGUCAAAAGAGAAGACCGUACCAACUUGUCUAGCCAAAUCCUUCAACAGAGUUUCAAUAAAGUUGAUAAAUAAUUUGCCCUAAAAAAUAUCCUUUCAAACAAUUUACAAAUCCUAAGAGCAUCUACAAUGGUGAGGUCUUCACCAUUUAAGACCUAGUACCUAAUAGGUACUCCCAUUGUGGGAAAAUUUUUUUGGGGGUCUUCUAAAACAUGAGGUCUAACUUAAGACCCCAUCUUUAAGUGGUCCUCACACACUUUUUUAUUAAAAUAAUAUAAUAGUGGUGGAAUUUAAAUGAUUAAAAGUUAGUGGUGAGACCCAUUUAGACUUUUUGUUAGAAGAUCUCCAUUGAGUGAUCGAGUACCUAUUAAAUACUGUUAUUAUAAAAUAAUAAAAAAGUGAUGUGUAGAAGUAAGACCCACUUAAACCCUUCAAUUUGAGGAUCUCCAUUGUGGAUGUUCUAAGACACUAUUUUUUUUCCCACAUGAUUGUGUGAUAGAACUUGCAAAUCUAAUUGUUGUCUUGGACAUGAAUGGACCUUUAUUGGAGCUUUGGUAAAUACCUUGUGUUUGGCUUAUGUGACUAGGCUUGUGGAGGAGAGAAUGUUGAAACAAGAUAUACUUUUACAUAGUUGCAUAUUGAUAUCCAGUGAAUGGCUAAAUCCCCAACCUUGAUAUAUUGGCAUGAAUGCUGAUCAACAUAAUAUCUUACACCCAAGUUAAGGAAAUAUAUAUUUCUUGGUCACCUAAUCUUAUUUAUUGGCUAGUGAAUAACCUGCAAAUACCUAUACUAUCUAUAUUAUUGUGGUCUGGCUUACUAUUCAUUCACAACGGACCAAUGAUUAGUAUCACGGACAGAAUAGGAAUGGUAAUUUAUAAGACAGGUGGCAGAUGGAAGCUAGUAAAUAAUAAAGGGUUGUCAAAUAUUAACAAUGGGUACAACGUAACAUGAUACAGCUUUAUUAUAUUAUUGAACACAAAUAAUAUUUUAUCUCAAGAGGAAGAAUUAUAUUAUGAAAUAGAGAAAUGAUAUUUGAACAUCCAUUUGGUGAUAAUUUUUGGGACAAUUUUCUCUCUCAUACUCAUAUCAUUUUUACUUUAUCUCUCUAUUGUUUUGGUUUCCAUGCAAAUACUUAUUUUUUCUUUGUAAAAUAUGAUUAUCACAUAAGUUAUCAACCAAAUAACCAAAUUGGUUGUUCAACGGUGACUUUUCAAUCCAAUAACUAUUUGUAAAACAUCCUCACACGUAAGUGUAUAGUUUUUAAAUGCAAUUAAUUUUGUCUUACAUUAAUUACAUAUUUGUAUUUUUUUUUAUAAAUUUGUUCGACAUGGACUUUGAAAUCAUUCCUCUAUCCUAAUGCUAAAUAUUUCUUCUUUUUUUGAAGAAAACUUUUAUAUAAUUCAAAUGACUUGUUAAUGAAUCCCAACCUUACGGGGGAUUUUACUAUGGAGAUUGAUUGUUUUAUAAUAGUUAUACUUAAAUCCAAGUGACAAAAACUAGAGAUGCAUACUUGUGAUGAUAGGUGAAUAUUUUACUAAGAUGAUCAAACCAACUUCUCACUUUUGUUUAUUAUGGUACGUAUCCAUCAAUAUAAGUCAUUUAAGUAAAAAAUUAUCUCACUUUAUAUGUUAUUUUACGGUAUGAUAGCUCGUGAGAGGAAUAGACACUUGUUGCAUGAUUAUCAUCACACAGUUCUAAUUGCAUUUUCAAACUUGCUUGAGUGUGCCUUUUGGGCAUAUCCACAGUAGCAUGUUAACAAGAGUUAGAGGCGGGGCCGGACCUUGUGGUGUGCAAGGAGCUCAAUGGAACUGAGCCUCCUCAAAGUAUGAGCUUUAAAAAAAAAAUUAUAACUCAGUAGUACUACCCCACUAAAAAAAAAUUAUUUUCUUUCUCUCUGAUACCACGCGUUUCAUCACUAUCACUCCAUCAUACUUUCAUUUUCUUCUUCCCUGAUUUGAUUUCCUUUUCCUCUUAUGUUGUCUUGUUUUAGGCCUAUUCGAAUUAGGUCAUCUUGCUUUUGGUGUUAGGUGUGUGUUUUUUUGGGAGGGUGGUUUGAGUUUGAGGUUUCUUAUGUAUACGGUAGUGAUUUUCACAUUUGCGUGUAUGCAUAUAUACGAUACCUUGUAUUUAUCUUUUAAAAAAUUUAAAUAGAACAUUGUUCUUUUAAAAAAAUUACGUUUUUAUUUUAUUAAGGAUCUCUUUUGACUUACAGGAUCGAACUUUCAGAUUCGUAAGAACGGCCCUGGUUAGAGGCAUAAGGCUCGAAAUUUAUUUAGAGUUUUAUUACAAUAUAUAUAGUCCAAAAAAGUCAUAUAUUGUUAAAGAUGAAAAUGAAUAUGCAAAGCAUAUUUCUUCAAAAAAAAAAAAAUAUGCAAAGCAUAUAAAAAAGAUUCUUUUGAUACCAAAAUAAAAAAAAUAAAAAAAAAAACACUUAAAAUAGGAAUUGGAUUAGAUGAUGUUGAUUUGGAUGCAAUCAUGAUCAAUCUCUAUCUUUAAAUCGUUCGAUCAAGAUCAAAUGAUAAAAAUCUUAAAUUCAAUGUUAAAAUUUGAACAAUCCGAUCUUAAUCGAAACAACAUUAAACUAGCCAACUAAUUGUCUUCAUGAAGUUGUGACUGAAACUCAAUCUCUUAAAAAACCAUACAAUCCAAAUUCAUGUCUUAUAUGCAGUGUUAUCAGUCAAGUCCAGUUGUCACAUGCAUUACAGUACAUUGAAUUUUGCACCAAUUAAUCUGAACCUUAUCAUCAACUAAGACAAAGACAUGUCCAAGAUAAAAAGAUUUCUUCCUUGUUCCUUGUUUUACAAAGCAAUCAUGUUUUGUCCUUUUUCUCUCCUCAAUAAAUAAAAUCACUUUACUUUGCUUCUUUCACCACUAUCAUCAUCAUCCAUAUACAUAGCCCACAAACCCCAUUUCAACAAGUUUAGAUUUUGAUUAGUGUUAGCCGCUUGAAUUACCAAAACAGUGAUGAAUUUGAGUAAAAAAAUUGACUUUGACACCAAAAGAAAAAUGGGUCUGAAUUUCAUGAUUUUGGUGGUUAUGGUUUCAUGGUUUUGGUCAAUUCCUACGACAUGUGCCUUGACUGCAAAACAACAAAAGAGUCGUCAGAAGCUGAGGUUUGAUCAAAAUGGUGAAUUCAAGAUAUUGCAGGUGGCAGAUAUGCACUAUGCAAAUGGAAAGACCACACUGUGUUUGGAUGUACUUCCUUCUCAGAAGGCUUCUUGUACUGACCUCAAUACUACUGCUUUCAUUCAUAGGAUGAUCCUUGCUGAGAAGCCUAAUCUUAUUGUCUUCACUGGUAUUGUUCUUUCUUUUACCUCUUGCUUUUUAUGUAAUCUGAAUAUUGUUGUAACAAUGAAACCCUAAUUAAUUGGCAGAACUGCGUAAACAAAGACCGUGUCUUAUUGUCUUGCGAUUUUAGUGUCUUUUAUUUUUCUAUUACUAGUUGGUGUUCUAACACAUUGAUUCAUUCAUUUUUAUUGUGUUUCUUAUAUGUGUGGAAAAACCUAUAACAAUCAUUUAGAAUUGGAGGGAGUAGCAUGAUGUUCUACUAGUUACUUGUAAAUGGAUGGAAAUGAAAUGAAUUGGAGUCGGCACUAUAAUGUUUUUGAUAUUUUUCAUUUAUUUAAUCAUCUUUGGUACAUCUAAGCAAAUUGCAGUUACAAGUUUUUUUUAUUGUUGAUAACCAAUUUUACAAAUUUAUUUCUGGUAUGACAGGAGAUAAUAUCUAUGGCUAUGAUUCCUCGGAUUCGGCUAAAUCGAUGAACGCUGCAUUUGCUCCUGCAAUUGAAUCAAACAUUCCUUGGGUGGCUGUUUUAGGGAACCAUGACCAAGAAGGAUCACUCUCUAGGGAAGGUGUGAUGAAAUAUAUUGUUGGAUUGAAAAACUCUUUAUCUAAAGUCAAUCCUCCAGAAGUACACAUCAUUGAUGGUUUUGGGAACAAUAACUUGGAGAUCGGUGGUGUUCAAGGUACUGUCUUUGAAAAUAAAUCAGUUCUCAAUCUAUACUUUCUUGACAGUGGAGAUUAUUCCAAAGUUCCGACGAUUCCUGGUUAUGAUUGGAUCAAGCCCUCACAGCAACUUUGGUUUGAGCGAACGUCUGCUAAUCUUCGGGUACUAUCACAUUAGCUUAUACCAAAUUAUCUAGUUUCUCUUUAUUGUUUAGUAUCUGACUUCACUCUUUAUUUAUUCUGCAGAAUGCAUAUAUAAAAGGACCGGCGCCACAAAAAGAAGCUGCUCCUGGUCUUGCAUACUUUCACAUCCCCUUACCGGAAUAUGCAAGUCUUGAUUCAUCAAACAUGACAGGUGUGAAAAUGGAAACAUAUAGCGGUGAUGGCAUUAGUUCUGCGUCGGUGAACUCUGGUUUCUUCACAACCUUGGUCGGAGCAGGAGACGUGAAGGCCGUUUUCGUUGGCCACGAUCACCUGAAUGACUUCUGCGGCAAGCUAAUGGAUAUACAACUUUGUUAUGCUGGAGGGUUCGGAUACCAUGCUUAUGGAAAGGCUGGAUGGUCUCGGAGGGCAAGAGUGGUGGUAGCUAGCUUGGAGAAGACAGAUAAAGGAAGCUGGGGAGCUGUCAAAUCAAUUAAAUCAUGGAAGCGCCUCGAUGAUCAGCAUCUUAC
Molecule: long non-coding RNA, 6974 nt
Filed under: Medicago truncatula (barrel medic)
Lineage: Eukaryota; Viridiplantae; Streptophyta; Magnoliopsida; Fabales; Fabaceae
Description: long non-coding RNA (MTRU_LNC005958)
Source: RNAcentral